UACGUAGGGGGCUAGCGUUGUCCGGAAUCAUUGGGCGUAAAGCGCGUGUAGGCGGUCCGGUAAGUCCGCUGUGAAAGUCGAGGGCUCAACCCUCGAAUGCCGGUGGAUACUGUCGGGCUAGAGUGCGGAAGAGGCGAGUGGAAUUCCUGGUGUAGCGGUGAAAUGCGCAGAUAUCAGGAGGAACACCUAUUGCGAAGGCAGCUCGCUGGGACGUAACUGACGCUGAGACGCGAAAGCGUGGGGAGCAAACAGG
RNAcentral lists this ribosomal RNA (253 nucleotides) under uncultured bacterium. RNAcentral describes it as "partial 16S ribosomal RNA". It matches the Rfam family "Bacterial small subunit ribosomal RNA", at positions 524 to 776 of the family's 1533-position model. The record is from RNAcentral.